RNAcentral lists this long non-coding RNA (1779 nucleotides) under Homo sapiens (human). Its description in RNAcentral is "HSALNT0275783". Lineage: Eukaryota; Metazoa; Chordata; Mammalia; Primates; Hominidae. The record is from RNAcentral.
CAAGUGACCCCAGAACGCCUGUCACCUGCGAGGGUAAGGACUGUUGAGUCCAGCCUCAGUCUGUGCCAUAUGUGAACCCCUCAGGCUCAGCACAGAGAGGUGGCAUAUAUGGUUGCAGGGAGGUGGGGCAGACGCAAUUCUUAUAAUUGAGUCUCAGGUUGAAAUGCUCUUCUCUGUUCCAUGGUUUUUGAUCACAGAACGGAGAAUGCAGGAUAAACUGUAGCUCUUCUGUGAAAAACAUAAGUUCAGAGAAAUGCGGUCAUAUCCGCGUGCACUCCUGCUUCCCGUGUGUAUUGAAAACAAGAUUUUUUUUCUCACCUCAGUAAGAACAGCUGCACUGUAAUUGGGAGCACCUGAUGUUUCUGCCACUAAACUUCAGUUGUGUAUUUGAACCAUCAUCACAUUCAUCGUCAUUGUGUUUUUUUCUAUUACUCAUAAGAACAAGAAGAUUAAGGUAGGAAAUUAUGACCAUAACUAGGUGGGACCUUUCAGUGUUCAAACCACAAACAAGAAACUCAAUAGCAUUUCCUGCAACUGUUAUUUUAUUAGUAUUGUUUUAUUUUUCAUUAUAACCUUAAAUAUUUAUCAAAAAGUUAACAUUUCAGUGAUUAAAAUUAAGAUACUUUUCUUUUACAAGGUUUUGAUCAUUUUUACGUAUUUGAUUUGGAACUCUGCUUCUUAUUGCUAGAAGGCCUUUCCUUCUCCAUAGGAAUAAUCAAAAUUAGUUUUAAUCAACAUUAGGCCCCUGUUGGAUCACAGGCCCUAAGUGGAUUCCCAGGCCCCAGGUGCACAUCAGGCACAGGUGUACAAGCAGACACUGGGUGGACUUACCUGUGUACAGGCGCCUCUGGCCAUUUGGGCAAAGGCGCCCCCAAGUACCACAGGGCAGCCCAGGGCAGGCCCUACCAGGCCAGGCCCCACCGGUGAUCCCAUCGCGGCCACAUCUGCACAUUGUUCUUGUCCAGCUGGAGCCUCUGGAGUUCAUCGAGGCACAGGCACACGCAACACAGGAAAUUCCAGCGCCAGCUGAUGAGCCAGUGCCAGCACCAGGGGAAGACCCCCCUUCAGGGACAGAACUGGAGCUAUCAGCAGCUCCAGAUCCCUCCUGCCCCUGUCCUGGUCCUGCCAAGGACCAGCCCAGUGAGGAGCUACCUGACAUCAUGAGAUCUGCUCUAGCCACUGGCCUCAGCCCUGGAGCUGAAAGCAUGGCUGGAGCAAGAGGUGGAAGAGAGGGGGUGGCCAGCACGGCCCCAGCCCGCAUCUCCCACGCUGGGCUCAGUCCUGGGCACAGUGGGAGACAUGGAGGUAGAGACCCGGGUAUAUGGCCUGCGCUCCUCUGACUCGCCAGAGAGAGGCUUCUCUCAUUCAGCAGAGCUGCAGCCCUGCGGCUGAAGGGCCUGCUGCUGCUCCUGCUGGGGUUGUUUGCCUGCCUGCAAGAGGCGCUGGGGGGCAGGAAAAGAAACCUGGGAGGAGGGGAUCCAGCAGCUCCUCCUGCUCCCAGAGGCGGCUUCUUCCUCCAACCUUGGAGGUCUGCCCUCAACUGGGCUUCUGGGCUGUUUGUCCCUGAGGUGCUGCCCAGGACAGGCUCUUCUUGACAGGUGGGCAGGGGUGUGGAGGCCAGGGGGCAUCUCCAAAGGGUAUCAAAACCGAAGCUUCAAAACUCAGCACUUGUGCCCCCAAAUCGCCAUGCCAUGCCACCACCUGCCCUAGAAUUCAUCCAUAGUGUUAAAAUUACAAGUUUCUACAAUAACAUUUAAAUAAAGUUUGACUUUUUGAAAG